AACGAACGCUGGCGGCAUGCCUAACACAUGCAAGUCGAACGAGACCUUCGGGUCUAGUGGCGCACGGGUGCGUAACGCGUGGGAAUCUACCCUUGGGUUCGGAAUAACAGUUAGAAAUGACUGCUAAUACCGGAUGAUGACGUAAGUCCAAAGAUUUAUCGCCCAAGGAUGAGCCCGCGUAAGAUUAGCUUGUUGGUGGGGUAAUGGCCUACCAAGGCGACGAUCUUUAGCUGGUCUGAGAGGAUGAUCAGCCACACUGGGACUGAGACACGGCCCAGACGCCUACGGGAGGCAGCAGUGGGGAAUAUUGGACAAUGGGCGAAAGCCUGAUCCAGCAAUGCCGCGUGAGUGAUGAAGGCCUUAGGGUUGUAAGGCUCUUUUACCAGGGAUGAUAAUGACAGUACCUGGAGAAUAAGCUCCGGCUAACUCCGUGCCAGCCGCCGCGGUAA
Molecule: ribosomal RNA, 449 nt
Filed under: uncultured bacterium
Lineage: Bacteria
Description: partial 16S ribosomal RNA
Rfam family: Bacterial small subunit ribosomal RNA
Source: RNAcentral